UUAUUAAAUUAACUUUUUACUCCGACGUAAGAAUGCAGUGUUUUGAUGACCUCCGAGGGGAAUGCCGCGCGAACGGCAGGGUCGCCCCCGAAGCAACAAGAUAUGUUCACAAAGGGUUGGAGGUCGGGAUUGCUCCCUCACUCAGUAAUGAUCCCUCCGCAGGUUCACCUACGGAGA
This 177-nucleotide unclassified non-coding RNA is filed under the name uncultured fungus. RNAcentral's name for it is "sequence contains ITS1". Lineage: Eukaryota; Fungi. The record is from RNAcentral.